RNAcentral lists this ribosomal RNA (887 nucleotides) under uncultured archaeon. RNAcentral's name for it is "bacterial SSU rRNA". It matches the Rfam family "Archaeal small subunit ribosomal RNA", at positions 1 to 894 of the family's 1478-position model. The record is from RNAcentral.
UUUCCGGUUGAUCCUGCCGGAGGCCACUGCUAUUGGGAUCCGACUAAGCCAUGCGAGUCGAGAGGGUUCGGCCCUCGGCAGACUGCUCAGUAACACGUGGAUAACCUAACCUUAGGUGGAAGAUAACCUCGGGAAACUGAGAAUAAUAUUCCAUAGAUCUAGGAUGCUGGAAUGCAUCUAGAUUGAAAGUUCCGACGCCUAAGGAUGGGUCUGCGGACUAUCAGGUUGUAGUCAGGGUAAAGACCUGACUAGCCUACGACGGAUACGGGUUGUGAGAGCAAUAGCCCGGAGACGAUAUCUGAGACACGAUAUCGGGCCCUACGGGGCGCAGCAGGCGCGAAAUCUUCACAAUGUGCGAAAGCACGAUGAGGGGAUCCCAAGUGCUGGCACGUAAGUGUCAGCUGUUUCUUAGUCUAAAAAACUGAGAGAGUAAGGGCUGGGUAAGACGGGUGCCAGCCGCCGCGGUAAUACCUGCAGCUCAAGUGGUGGCCGCUAUUAUUGGGCCUAAAACGUCCGUAGCCUGUUUAGUAAAUGCUUGGGUAAAUUGUGUAGCUUAACUAUACGAAUACCGAGUAGACUGCUAAACUUGGGACCGGGAGAGGCUAGAGGUACUCCUGGGGUAGAGGUGAAAUUCUGUAAUCCUAGGGGGACCACCAGUGGCGAAGGCGUCUAGCUAGAACGGGUCUGACGGUGAGGGACGAAGCCCUGGGGCGCAAACCGGAUUAGAUACCCGGGUAGUCCAGGGUGUAAACGCUGCUUGCUUGAUGUUAGUUGGGCUCCGAGCCCAACUAGUGUCGGAGAGAAGUUGUUAAGCAAGCUGCCUGGGAAGUACGGUCGCAAGACUGAAACUUAAAGGAAUGGCGGGGGAGCACAGGAAGCGGAAUGGC